AGAGUUUGAUCCUGGCUCAGGAUGAACGCUGGCGGCGUGCUUAACACAUGCAAGUCGAACGCGAAAGGGACUUCGGUCCUGAGUAAAGUGGCGCACGGGUGAGUAACGCGUAGAUAACCUGUCUUUGUGUCUGGAAUAAUACUUCGAAAGGGGUACUAAUACCGGAUAACCUUGCUUUUCACAAGUUAUGCAAGCAAAGGUGGCCUCUGAUACAAGCUACUGCAUGAAGAGGGGUCUGCGUACCAUUAGCUAGUAGGUGGGGUAAUGGCCUACCUAGGCGACGAUGGUUAGCGGGUCUGAGAGGAUGAUCCGCCACACUGGCACUGGAACACGGGCCAGACUCCUACGGGAGGCAGCAGUGAGGAAUAUUGCGCAAUGGGGGCAACCCUGACGCAGCGACGCCGCGUGAGUGAGGAAGGCCUUCGGGUCGUAAAGCUCUGUCAAGAGGAAAGAAGUGCAUAAUGGUUAAUACCUGUUAUGUUUGACGGUACCUCUAAAGGAAGCACCGGCUAACUCCGUGCCAGCAGCCGCGGUAA
This 536-nucleotide ribosomal RNA is filed under the name uncultured bacterium. Its description in RNAcentral is "bacterial SSU rRNA". It matches the Rfam family "Bacterial small subunit ribosomal RNA", at positions 8 to 523 of the family's 1533-position model. The record is from RNAcentral.